GAUGAACGCUAGCGACAGGCUUAACACAUGCAAGUCGAGGGGCAUCGGGACGUAGCAAUACGUUGCCGGCGACCGGCGGAUGGGUGAGUAACGCGUAUGCAACCUGCCCACGACAGGGGGAUAGCCCGUUGAAAGACGGAUUAAUACCCCAUAAAACAGGGGUUCCGCAUGGGACUAUUUGUUAAAGGGUUUUCCGCGAGGGGGAUCCGGUUGUGGAUGGGCAUGCGUUCCAUUAGGCAGUUGGUGGGGUAACGGCUCACCAAACCGACGAUGGAUAGGGGAACCGGGAGGUUGGUCCCCCACACUGGUACUGAGAUACGGACCAGACUCCUACGGGAGGCAGCAGUGAGGAAUUUUGGUCAAUGGACGAAGUCUGAACCAGCCAAGUCGCGUGAAGGAAGGCGGCCCUAAGGGUUGUAAACUUCUUUUGUAAGGGAAUAAAGGCCGGUAACGCGUUACCGGUUUGCCAGGUACCUUACGAAUUAAGGAUCGGCUAACGUCCGUGCCCAGCCAGCCGCGGUAAUCACGAGACGUA
This 535-nucleotide ribosomal RNA is filed under the name uncultured bacterium. RNAcentral describes it as "bacterial SSU rRNA". It matches the Rfam family "Bacterial small subunit ribosomal RNA", at positions 28 to 533 of the family's 1533-position model. The record is from RNAcentral.